CCCUGCUGGUCCUGACUGUAAUGAUCACAUAAUAUUGAUAACACAGAGAAUAUGAUGCUGUUGCUGCCCAUUAACAAUGGGGAGCAUUCCUCCGUACAGUUGGACCUUGAUCCCGAACGCCUUGGUACUCAGACGUUUUGGCUCCUGAAUGCUGCAAACCCGGAGGGCUUUGGAGCUUUUCAAUCAUCCCCACUGUGUGAUCCCAGUCUCCAAUAAUGGCUUCUCCCCUGGUCACCAGGGUGACAACUGCCUUUAUGGAAAUGUGAGACCAAAUAGCUCGGAUCAAAGUACAAAGAGCAGAGGAUACAAAGCAACUACUGGAAAUUCUUAAAGGUCUGCACAAGCUCCUACCAAGAGAUCAACACGCAAUUCCCACUUGCCCUCCCUGACCUCAGUGUGCUUUGAACUGAUGAAAUGCAAGCACCGGUUUCCCCCGCAGAAGCCACAAGGAUUUCUCCCUCAAUGUGAAGAGCAAAUCAAAUCAACAAAUGGAAAACUAAAACAGCCAGCAUUUUGUGUUGCCAAAUGAUUAAGAAAACGCUUCCUUGG
Long non-coding RNA from Podarcis muralis (Common wall lizard), 549 nucleotides. RefSeq lists it as uncharacterized. The record is from RefSeq and is a predicted model, not a curated record. NCBI's taxonomy places the organism in Eukaryota, Metazoa, Chordata, Lepidosauria, Squamata, Lacertidae.